GGGCCUGUAGCUCAAUGGUAGAGCAGCGGACUUUUAAUCCGUGGGUUCCGGGUUCGAGUCCCGGCGGGCCUA
Molecule: transfer RNA, 72 nt
Filed under: Actinomycetaceae bacterium
Lineage: Bacteria; Bacillati; Actinomycetota; Actinomycetes; Actinomycetales; Actinomycetaceae
Description: tRNA-Lys
Rfam family: tRNA
About the family: Transfer RNA (tRNA) molecules are approximately 80 nucleotides in length. Their secondary structure includes four short double-helical elements and three loops (D, anti-codon, and T loops).
Source: RNAcentral